Molecule: ribosomal RNA, 460 nt
Filed under: uncultured bacterium
Lineage: Bacteria
Description: partial 16S ribosomal RNA
Rfam family: Bacterial small subunit ribosomal RNA
Source: RNAcentral
CCUACGGGAGGCAGCAGUGAGGAAUAUUGGUCAAUGGGCGGGAGCCUGAACCAGCCAAGUCGCGUGAGGGAAGACGGUCCUAUGGAUUGUAAACCUCUUUAGGCGGGGAGCAAUGCCGGGCACGCGUGCCCGGAGGGAGAGUACCCGCAGAAUAAGCAUCGGCUAACUCCGUGCCAGCAGCCGCGGUAAUACGGAGGAUUCGAGCGUUAUCCGGAUUUAGUGGGUUUAAGGGGUGCGGAGGCGGAUUUUUAAGUCAGCGGUAAAAUGUCCGGGCUCAACCCUGGUCGGCCGUUGAAACUGGGGAUCUUGAGUGGGCGAGAAGUAUGCGGAAUGCGUGGUGUAGCGGUGAAAUGCAUAGAUAUCACGAAGAACUCCGAUUGAGAAGGCAGCAUACCGGCGCCCGACUGACGCUGAGGCACGAAAGCGUGGGGAUCGAACAGGAUUAGAUACCCCUGUAGUC